This 555-nucleotide small RNA is filed under the name Histoplasma capsulatum. RNAcentral describes it as "hypothetical RNA". The record is from RNAcentral. RNAcentral also lists the same sequence under 1 other name. Lineage: Eukaryota; Fungi; Ascomycota; Eurotiomycetes; Onygenales; Ajellomycetaceae.
CUGCUUGAAGAGUACAAAGGGUCCAUUGUCUGAUGCGAGAAGCCCUUCUUCCGGUUUACAAUGCGACUCCUCUGAGUCUCGAUAUUACUCAGAUGGAGUCGCGGAGCUUGAUGUUCUAUUCUAUUUUGAAUUCCGCCCUUGGCCCAAACCCAGUGAUGGCCAUAUUUCCCUAUCCAAACGUUUGGAAUGGUUAAAGGUACCGUAGAGACACGGAGUUGACUCUCUACAUCCAUCUUCCAACCUAGCUCUAAAAUUGAGGAGAAGCAAUUCCAAACACUGAGGAUCGUAUGGAAGGCGAGCGAGACAAAUAGAUGUUGGCGAAUAGAUGUUGCCGGUGCUUGAAGGCUGCUGAAAUAAAUCACCGCACAGGGUAACAUAAAGGGAGCCGCAGCAACUUGGACACAAAAACCAUAAACAAAUAACUUGACCCAGUCCACUCCACCCACUCCAUUUGCUCUCGUGCAUACUUUCAGGAACGAAUUCUAAAUCUGAAUGCAUCUUCACCGCGAGAUUUUGGCUGCGAAGUUGUGACUUUUCCUUGCCACGCCAAGCCAG